AUUGAACGCUGGCGGCAUGCCUUACACAUGCCAGUCGAACGGCAGCACGGGUGCUUGCCCCUGGUGGCGAGUGGCGAACGGGUGAGUAAUACAUCGGAACAUGUCCUGUAGUGGGGGAUAGCCCGGCGAAAGCCGGAUUAAUACCGCAUACGAUCUACGGAUGAAAGCGGGGGACCUUCGGGCCUCGCGCUAUAGGGUUGGCCGAUGGCUGAUUAGCUAGUUGGUGGGGUAAAGGCCUACCAAGGCGACGAUCAGUAGCUGGUCUGAGAGGACGACCAGCCACACUGGGACUGAGACACGGCCCAGACUCCUACGGGAGGCAGCAGUGGUGAAUUUUGGACAAUGGGCGAAAGCCUGAUCCAGCAAUGCCGCGUGUGUGAAGAAGGCCUUCGGGUUGUAAAGCACUUUUGUCCGGAAAGAAAUCCUUGGCCCUAAUACGGUCGGGGGAUGACGGUACCGGAAGAAUAAGCACCGGCUAACUACGUG
RNAcentral lists this ribosomal RNA (486 nucleotides) under uncultured bacterium. RNAcentral describes it as "partial 16S ribosomal RNA". It matches the Rfam family "Bacterial small subunit ribosomal RNA", at positions 30 to 507 of the family's 1533-position model. The record is from RNAcentral.